UACAGAGGUCUCAACCGUUGUUCGGAUUCAUUGGGCGUAAAGGGCGCGUAGGCGGCCUGCUAAGUCGAACGUGAAAUCCCUGGGCUCAACCCAGGAACUGCGUCCGAUACUGGUUGGCUUGAAUCCGGGAGAGGGAUGUGGAAUUCCAGGUGUAGCGGUGAAAUGCGUAGAUAUCAGGAGGAACACCAAUGGCGAAGGCAGCUCGCUGGAACGGUACUGACGCUGAGGCGCGAAAGCGUGGGGAGCAAACAGG
Molecule: ribosomal RNA, 253 nt
Filed under: uncultured bacterium
Lineage: Bacteria
Description: partial 16S ribosomal RNA
Rfam family: Bacterial small subunit ribosomal RNA
Source: RNAcentral